UACAGCGGGCGCGAGCGUUGUCCGGAAUUACUGGGCGUAAAGAGCUCGUAGGUGGUUUGUCGCGUUGUUCGUGAAAUCUCACGGCUUAACUGUGAGCGUGCGGGCGAUACGGGCAGACUAGAGUACUGCAGGGGAGACUGGAAUUCCUGGUGUAGCGGUGGAAUGCGCAGAUAUCAGGAGGAACACCGGUGGCGAAGGCGGGUCUCUGGGCAGUAACUGACGCUGAGGAGCGAAAGCGUGGGGAGCGAACAGG
This 253-nucleotide ribosomal RNA is filed under the name uncultured bacterium. Its description in RNAcentral is "partial 16S ribosomal RNA". It matches the Rfam family "Bacterial small subunit ribosomal RNA", at positions 524 to 776 of the family's 1533-position model. The record is from RNAcentral.